UUCCCUGUGGCUCAGUUGGUAGAGCAUGGUGUUUGCAACACCAGGGUUGUGGGUUUGAUUCCCACGGGGGACC
Salmo salar (Atlantic salmon) is the source of this 73-nucleotide non-coding RNA. NCBI's taxonomy places the organism in Eukaryota, Metazoa, Chordata, Actinopteri, Salmoniformes, Salmonidae. The record is from Rfam.